CUCUUUAGUCUGAAGUCCCACUUAUUUUUUCUUUUGUUUUCCUUGUCAGAGAAUCCCUUUCAAGUUUUUACUGUUGCCUUUCCUCUUCUCCACCAUUUGUGUAAUAUUUUUCAUCAUCACCAUUUUAUGAUUUUUCCAUUCAACAGGGAAAAAAACGCUGUAAGUCUUGUAUAUACUUGAAGCUCUUUCCAGAACUGCUGAGCCCACCUUGCACCCUCUCCCCCCCAUGCAAGCUUAGCAGCUGCCUGGCCUUCCCUCUCUCAGAACCCCACCUUGCCUAUGGGGGGGGCGGGGAGGAGCAGUGCUGUCGUGUUGCCGUGGCAACUCGCAAUCUGCUGAGUCAGCUAGUUUGGGGUGUGCUUGCUGAGGCCUUGGGUGCUGGCCUAGCCAGCUGCCCCUCACUCAGCAUGACAGGGAAACAACCCCAUUCAGUGCCCUCCAAGUCUGGCACGAUCACCAGCUCUCUGUGCUCGCUUGUCUUGGCAGUUACUCUCGGGUGUGAAGCUUGUGCCCAGGUGUGGGUCCACAGAAAGCUGUGACCAGCAGCCUCUCCUCAAGGAGAAAUCGGAGUAGGCCCUUGGCUUUCAAGGACUUGUUAUUGGCCAUUUGGAGGCUUUUCAAAGAUGACUCUGAGGUGUCAGAAGAGGAACCACAUGUGACUCCGUUGGAGCUGGACCUGGAGCCUCCAGCACGGCUGUGAGGACGCUCAGUGCCUUCCUGGCCACUCUGCUACACUUCCUGUCACCGAAUGCUGAAGAGAGACCCCCGGCUGGUGUCAGCGCUCAGCACUUGGUCAAGGCACUGGUCACGUUCUACUUUGGCUAACUCUUCGCUCCCUUCCGAAGACGCCACCUGACUUCCACCUCCACAGAGCAGUUUUGCAGGCUUUGGAUAUCGUACAAAUGGACUCACAAGCUAUCCUAUUGUUGGACUUUCACAAAUCUCUGGCUCUUUCUACCCUCUCUGGCAUUGGAGGCCAGUGAGCUCCCCACUCACGGAGCUUUACCUGCCUGCAGGCACAGUCAGAUCCAACUUCUGGAAAGAGAAGCCUUGAAAAAACAAAGCUUCCCCACCAAACACCUGAUGGGAACCGUAACACAGGACCUCCAGCCCCGGCUUCCAGCUGGCUGGGAUUCUAGUUGGCUUCCUGUGUGCUUCUCUUGCAUAUUUUGAGACCUGUGCACGCUAAGAAAAACCCACAUGUGAAAAUCCAAACCAAAUAAAGCUGUUUAAUCAGUGUCAUUACAAAAUGAUGGUAAUUUCCUUGCCUUGCAAAAGGAUUCACUGUCAGCUUGUUUUAGGUAGUAAGCUCCCUCUUUAUAUUUUAAAAUACGUAAUUUAAAAUGACUUGAACCAAUUUUCAGGAACAUUUUCAUAUAUAUAUCAAGACAUCUGAUUGGACCAUAUUUAUGUUUUCACCGUUUAUUUAUUUGUUCCUUUAUCUGCCCUUCCCACCUGAGCUGUUAGUCACCGGGAGACCAGCGAGAGCCGGGAAGGAAGCCCUGGAGCGGAGCUGGGGCAAGAACGGCUGGGGAUGGUACGGCGAGUUUCUUGGCUCCACGGGCUGGUGAAG
Molecule: long non-coding RNA, 1573 nt
Organism: Equus caballus (horse)
Lineage: Eukaryota; Metazoa; Chordata; Mammalia; Perissodactyla; Equidae
Source: Ensembl